Molecule: ribosomal RNA, 253 nt
Filed under: uncultured bacterium
Lineage: Bacteria
Description: partial 16S ribosomal RNA
Rfam family: Bacterial small subunit ribosomal RNA
Source: RNAcentral
UACGGAGGAUCCGAGCGUUAUCCGGAUUUAUUGGGUUUAAAGGGUGCGUAGGCGGCCUGUUAAGUCAGGGGUGAAAGACGGUAGCUCAACUAUCGCAGUGCCCUUGAUACUGAUGGGCUUGAAUGUACUAGAGGUAGGCGGAAUGUGACAAGUAGCGGUGAAAUGCAUAGAUAUGUUACAGAACACCAAUUGCGAAGGCAGCUUACUAUGGUAUAAUUGACGCUGAGGCACGAAAGCGUGGGGAUCAAACAGG